RNAcentral lists this ribosomal RNA (301 nucleotides) under uncultured bacterium. RNAcentral's name for it is "partial 16S ribosomal RNA". It matches the Rfam family "Bacterial small subunit ribosomal RNA", at positions 509 to 807 of the family's 1533-position model. The record is from RNAcentral.
CAGCCGCCGCGGGAAUACGAAGGGUGCAAGCGUUACUCGGAAUUACUGGGCGUAAAGCGUGCGUAGGUGGUGGUUUAAGUCCGUUGUGAAAGCCCUGGGCUCAACCUGGGAAUUGCAGUGGAUACUGGGUCACUAGAGUGUGGUAGAGGAUAGCGGAAUUUCCGGUGUAGCAGUGAAAUGCGUAGAGAUCGGAAGGAACAUCUGUGGCGAAGGCGACUAUCUGGGCCAACACUGACACUGAGGCACGAAAGCGUGGGGAGCAAACAGGAUUAGAUACCCGUGUAGUCCCUGUCUCUUAUAC